Molecule: long non-coding RNA, 816 nt
Filed under: Gossypium barbadense (sea-island cotton)
Lineage: Eukaryota; Viridiplantae; Streptophyta; Magnoliopsida; Malvales; Malvaceae
Description: long non-coding RNA (GBAR_LNC007641)
Source: RNAcentral
AUCUGCCAUUUUCUACAAGAAACUAAACAAAUCCCUAACACCCUCAUUUUUUUAUCCCUUUUGCUAGGGUUUUGGCCUCAACCUAGGGGCGAUGAUUAAACGUCGCCGCACCACCAUCAAACUUGGUGGCCGACCACGCGCAAAAGGGCAUAGUUCCCGCAAUGAGAGGCUGGAGAUAAGUAUUAUCCUCUAUUUAUUUUCUUCAUGCGAAAGAAAAGAAAGAAAAACUAAAAAACACUCGGAAAAGAAGUGAGAUCCGAAAUCUAAAGGAAGAAAUUGAAAUCUCAGAUCACCUUGAAUUUCUGAUUGCUUUGUAUUCAGUAUGUGAGCGUAAAAAAAAGUCCCAAUAUAAUGUUUACAAUCGGCUUUAUAUAGCCGAAACAAAAAAUGAAAAGAAAUGAAACUAUAAAAUAAUAAUUUUUUCUUUUCUGUUAUUUCUCUGCUGUUGAUUAUCCUUGCUGUUAUUUGUUGUGGUUAUUAGUUUGUUGUAGGCGUGUCCAACUAGAGGACCAACAUGGAGGGCAUGGAGGCGCGGAGAAAGCCGUGCAUGCGAGUUGCGGUGUGAGGGUUUCCAGGACCUCCUAGUGCGUUGGGCCAAGCGGGCCUAUUUUAUUUUGGGCUGUAAUUUUAAUUGUUUUUGGGUCUUAGGGUUUAAUUGUUAGGGUCAUCAGUUGGGUUUAGAGUCUAGGCCAAUAGAUUUGGGUUUUAUUUUCGGUUUCAAUUUGGGUCUCGGGUUUGGGCCAUUGGUUUGUAAUAAUGGACUAUGUACUUUUAUUAUUUUGGUUUUAUUAAUAUUUUUUGUUUUUUAUAACGGGC